Long non-coding RNA from Grammomys surdaster, 913 nucleotides. RefSeq lists it as uncharacterized. The transcript has 3 exons. NCBI's taxonomy places the organism in Eukaryota, Metazoa, Chordata, Mammalia, Rodentia, Muridae. The record is from RefSeq and is a predicted model, not a curated record.
GGACCCCUCCCUGCCCAUCAGCAUUCUCUCCAGAAAAAUAGUUUCCCACAAGACUAAGGGAACAGACGAAGAAGCUGCGGCAGAUAGAAUGAACUGAGGCUGCACCUGCAGCCCUGGGAGCUGGUGACUCUCUGGCACUGUGUGUGUAGUUGGAGCGUUUUGGCCUUUCAUCACCCUCAAGCUUGUAAAACCCUGAGGAAGCUGUGACUCUGUUACUUACCACCUCGUUUCAUUUCCUGUUCUGAAUACAUUGGUCUGUGUGAAUGACCUUAGAACUGCCUAGAAGCAGAGCUGUGUCGUCUGGCUUCAGACUUUGAGUUGUGCUUCAAGUCCCAACCUCAAAGUGGUGACACUUCUCCAGCCCCUUGGACCAUGCAGAGACGUGCAUCACCCACCUACUUCUCUAUGUCUGGGCCAGCGGUGUUGCCUGGCUCCUUGGCGAAUCCCUGGUUUGCUUGGUUCUGGGUGACCUGACCACAGCAGAGUGAAGCAUCUCCGGAUGUCCUCAGAUGAAGUAAGACGAUAUAGCUCAGAUCCUGGAGGGGAGCAGGAAAUCCAAAUUGAACUCUCCCACAGAGGUCCUCGCUGGCGUUGGGCUACCCCAGGGCAGUGUGGACAGUGGGUGAAGUCCUGAGCUGAUGUGUGCUGUGGUCAUGAGCACAGUAAUGUCAAGGUGCCUCAGACCAUAGGAAUGGCAAAGCCUUCCCUGAGAGGCUCAGAGGGAUGGAAAACCUCCUCUGUCCGGACCUGGAAUGUUGACAGUGUGUGUAGAAACUGCCAAUUACAACUUCCUCCUCCCUGGUGACCGAAGCCUGAGACUGUGCCCCUACCAAGAUCCACUUCUGAGAUCAGCUAAAUCUGCCGCCUUGCUCAGUCAAGCGCCAUAAACUCUCCUCCUUGAUUCAGAUAUAAA